This 472-nucleotide ribosomal RNA is filed under the name uncultured bacterium. RNAcentral's name for it is "SSU rRNA". It matches the Rfam family "Bacterial small subunit ribosomal RNA", at positions 26 to 518 of the family's 1533-position model. The record is from RNAcentral.
AGGACGAACGCUGGCGGCGUGCUUAACACAUGCAAGUCGAGCGGAAAGGCCCUUCGGGGUACUCGAGCGGCGAACGGGUGAGUAACACGUGAGUAAUCUGCCCCUAGCUCUGGGAUAGCUCCGGGAAACCGGGAUUAAUACCAGAUACGACCACUUUAGACAUCUGCUGUGGUGGAAAGAAUUUCGGCUAGGGAUGAGCUCGCGGCCUAUCAGCUUGUUGGUGAGGUAACGGCUCACCAAGGCGACGACGGGUAGCCGGCCUGAGAGGGCGACCGGCCACACUGGGACUGAGACACGGCCCAGACUCCUACGGGAGGCAGCAGUGGGGAAUAUUGCGCAAUGGGCGAAAGCCUGACGCAGCGACGCCGCGUGGGGGAUGAAGGCCUUCGGGUUGUAAACCCUUUCAGCAGGGACGAAGCGAAGUGACGGUACCUGCAGAAGAAGCGCCGGCUAACUACGUGCCAGCAGCCGC